AAAUAAACAGUGCAAUGGAUGAGCCUCUGACCCCCGCCCCCUGGACGGCGAGGCUCAUCCAUUGCACUCCGGAUGUGCUGACCCCUGCGAUUUCCCCAAAUGUGGGAAACUCGACUGCAUAAUUUGCGGUAGUGGGGGUCUGUGUUCGUUCGCGCUCUCC
This 160-nucleotide small nuclear RNA is filed under the name Echinops telfairi (small Madagascar hedgehog). RNAcentral's name for it is "U1 spliceosomal RNA (ENSETEG00000024285.1)". It matches the Rfam family "U1 spliceosomal RNA". Rfam says of the family: U1 is a small nuclear RNA (snRNA) component of the spliceosome (involved in pre-mRNA splicing). Its 5' end forms complementary base pairs with the 5' splice junction, thus defining the 5' donor site of an intron. Lineage: Eukaryota; Metazoa; Chordata; Mammalia; Afrosoricida; Tenrecidae. The record is from RNAcentral.